Molecule: unclassified non-coding RNA, 345 nt
Filed under: soil metagenome
Description: partial contains 5.8S ribosomal RNA, internal transcribed spacer 2, and large subunit ribosomal RNA
Rfam family: 5.8S ribosomal RNA (bases 1-120)
Source: RNAcentral
GAUGAAGAACGUAGUGAAAUGCGAUAAGUAAUGCGAAUUGCAGAAUUCAGUGAGUCAUCGAGUCUUUGAACGCACAUUGCGCCCCCUGGUAUUCCGGGGGGCAUGCCUGUCCGAGCGUCAUUGCUGCCCUCAAGCACGGCUUGUGUGUUGGGCCUCCGUCCUCCUCCCGGGGGACGGGCCCGAAAGGCAGCGGCGGCACCGCGUCCGGUCCUCGAGCGUAUGGGGCUUCGUCACCCGCUCUUGUAGGCCCGGCCGGCGCUUGCCGACACAUCAAUCUUUUUUCCAGGUUGACCUCGGAUCAGGUAGGGAUACCCGCUGAACUUAAGCAUAUCAAUAAGCGGAGGA